Mus musculus (house mouse) is the source of this 5108-nucleotide long non-coding RNA. RefSeq annotates it as predicted gene, 36127. Lineage: Eukaryota; Metazoa; Chordata; Mammalia; Rodentia; Muridae. The transcript has 2 exons. The record is from RefSeq and is a predicted model, not a curated record.
AGAAGGGGAGGGGAGGGGAGGGGAGGAGAGGAGAGGAAAGGGAAGGGGAGGAGAGAGAAUGAAAAUUAGUUGAGAGCUCAGCCACAUAGGUGCAGGGGUACUGAUACUGACUGACAUGAGGAAUCCUCAAACAUUUUUGUCCUAUAUACCUGUAGUACAGCUGACCAACAUGCAGGUGAUGCCUGUGUGUGACAACCUAAGAUGCCUCUGGUACUGCUUAAAAAACAAAAACAAAAAAGCACAAACAAAAAACAACAACAAAAAAAGCAAAAGCAGCAAAACAAGCCAGGCAUGGUGAUACAUUCCUGUAAUCCUAGCACUCUGAAGGCAGAGGCAGGAGGAUUGUCUCAAGUUUGAGUCCAACUUGAGGUAUAUAAUUGAGUUCCAGGGCAGCCAAAGAUACAUAGGCAGACAAACAAACAAACAAACAGGAAAGUUCUCUUGGUGGUGGGCACGCAGUAUACUUAAGAACUACUGGCUUACAGCUAAUUGGUUUACAAGUCUCCAAAGAUGCCCUACCUCUUUCGUACACAUGCACAUGUGCACAUACACAUGUGCACAAACACAAUCUCAUAUACAAGUGUCACUACUGCUCACAGUUUUGGAAGAAACAUAUUUUAUGUGGGGGUGAUGAGAUGAGACAUGGGUAGGUGGGUCAGAAGGGCAGGGUUUCUAGCUGUCUCCAUGGCAACUGUCCAGGCAGGUCAGGAACAGGCCAGUGUGGGCAGGAGAAGAUAUGGGGGUGGAAAGUCAGCCUGGCAGGGACCCGGGAGAGCAGAGCCCACCCCCCUCCACUGGGCAGGAUAAGCAGUUCUGAACUGGAGCCAGCAAGCAGAGGCAGACUCAGGGUUUCAUCUCAGAGGCUCUCUCUCUUCUCAAAGGGCAUCUUGACAAGGUCCAGGGAGACAGCUCUCCAGAGGCUUGGAGCAAAGGCUGUGUCCAGUGUGUAGGACAGGGACUCCUUCUGGAAACAACCCUUGGGGUGUCAGGAACUUCAAGAAUACAGCCUUGAAUAAGCCCACAUUCCUGUGGGUCUGGGGCUGACCUUCCAGGGAGAGGAGGGAGGUGCUAGACAAACAUGUCACACAUGCUUCAGACUGCUGAGGAGGAACAUUGAGUAGUGACAGUCACAGGGACCUAAUGCAGAGGAGGAGGAAGGAGGGACGUUGGGAUGUAUUCAGGUAAACAUUGUUAGAUGAUUUUAAAAUUUGUUCUGUCCACUGUGCACGUGUGUCUGGUGUGUGUGUGUGUGUGUGUGAGAGAGAGAGAGAGAGAGAGAGAGAGAGAGAGAGAGAGACAGAGAGAGACAGAGAGACAGAGAGAGACAGAGAGACAGAAAGAGAGAGACAGAGAGAGAGAUUGAGAGAGAGAGACAGAGACACAGAGAGAGAGAUUGCCAAGCAAAGUGCUUGAAAGCUGAAGUAGGUAGAUAGCUUUUGGGUGCUGGGGUUCCCCAAGAUUUGGCUUCACCUCUUAUAACUUGAAGUCUCUACUUUUAAAAAAAAAAAAAAAGAAAAAAAGUCUCACUCUGCAAUCCUGUAAGUCACUAUGUAGCCCAUGUUAGCUUCAAAUGGAUGAAUGACUGAAUCUCCUGCUUCAGCUUCCCAAGUGUUGGACUUACAGGUCUAUGGAUGCGCUCCUCUCUCUCUCUAUCUCUCUCUCUCUCUCUCUCUCCUUUCUUCUCUCCUUCUGUUCCCCUCUCCCUUUCCCUUUCCUUCCAUCCCCAUCUCUCUUCCUCUGCCCUCUUCUUUACUUUUUGCUUGGUUUUAUUGUAAUAAAGUCCACUGAACCGAUGCUGGCCCCAAAUUCACUAUAUAACUAAGGCCGACAUUGACCUCUGUCCUUCUGUCUCUACCUCCUGCGUAUAUGUCCACACCUAGCCUUCAACUUUCCCUUUUGGGCCUAGGUUAGACCCCUUCCCAGAACUCCAGCCAAGGAUAUUUCAGUGUUUACUGGGAGCGUGCACAUUGGGUAUUUAAAGGGCACCUUGGAAGUGGGCUUAGCUCACAUGAAGACUUUGAUGACUCAUACAAAAAUUAUAGUCAGAUAUGGUAGCACAAGUUCAUUAUCCUUGUCUGCUUGAGAUGCUGAGGCAGGAAGAUCACAAGCUCAAGACCCACCCAAGUAUAUAGUGAGUUCAAGGCCAGCCCAGUUAGCUUAGCAAGAAAGACCUUUGACUCACAAAGAAAGCCAGACAUGUAGCUCAGUGGGAGAGUAUUUGCACAGCAUGCUUGAGGCUGGGGGUUUAAUCCUCAGUACCACACACAAAUUAAUUGUUACCAUAGGAAUCAGCAAUUCCACUCCUUUGUGUUUACCUCCAAAGAUCUAAAUACAUGUGACCACAAAAAUGCAUGCACAAAAGUCCACUGUAUAUCUAUACAUAUCAGAUUAAAAGCAGAAAAUGAUGCAGAUUUUGGUAAACAGAUGAACAGGUAAACAAAUGUGGUGCAUCCAUACAGCAGGCUAUUACUCAGCCUUGAGGAGGAGUCACACUGACACUACGCAUGCUACAACAUAAGUGAAUCUUAAGGACAUUGUUCUAAGAGGAAGAAGACGGACAUAAAACAUUACACAGUAUAUGAUCUCACUUAUAUGAAAGGGCCACAGUAGUCAAUCCCACGCGGACAGAAAUCCUAUUUAUUACUUAUAUCUUGUAGCUGGAGGGAAGAACAUAAAAGUGAGCAGGCAAGAUGGCUCAGUGGGUAAGGGUGCUUGCUCUACUGGAUUCCCUGGGUUCCAGAUGGUAGAUGGUGGAAAACUGAUUCCCCAAAGUUGUCUUCUCAGGUUUGUAUGUGAACCAUGGCACAGGUAUGUGCACACACACACAAAUGUAGCAGAAUUUUAGCAGAGCCAUUGUAUCUGGCGUUAACUCAGAGCAAUGGCACCCAGGCUCUGAAGUAACCUUUUGCAAACAGUCAGUGGUUGUUAUCCUAGACUUGUUUCUUUGAAGGAGUCUCAGAGCCUUUGCACAACUUAGUCCAGAGACAUAUCGUGCAAACCUGGAAGUCUCUUAUGGCUGAGAAAGCUUAGAUAAUGGUCCCAACAGCACCUAGAUGAGUGAGAGGUUUUGGCAUGCAGAAACUGACUUGCUCAAGGUGCCCUUUGUGUAACAAGAAAGAGGUUCUGCCAAGUGCUUCAGACUUUGGUCCCUGAAAAGCUGAUCCCCCUGCAGCUAAGAAGCCUAAACUCAUCCUGCCCCAUCUCUCUUUCUUUAAUCAGUCAGCCUGAGUAACACACACAUCAACACGCACACAUGGAUUUAAAAUAGAAGAGUGUUCUGGACCUAGAUAGAGAUCAUCACAGAACAUAGGGAAGAUGCCAGACAUUAACACUGCUAAAUGUAAAUUUUAUCUCUGUUUUAUCAGAAUUUUUAAAUUUUUACUUUUGAGACAUUGUCUCACUCUCUGAAGCCUUGGCUGGCCUGGAACUUAUUCUGUAGUCCAGCUUGGCUUGAACUCAGAGAUCUGUCUGCCUCUGCAUCCUAAGCACUGAGUUUAAAGGUGUGGGCCACCAAAUCCAACCAUGCUUUACAAGUCUUUUUCAAAUGGAAGCAGGCACUGUGGCUCCCACUUCAUAUCGUAGCACUUGGGCGGCAGAGGCAGGAGGGGCAAGAAUUUAGAGUCAUUCUUAGCUACAUAGCCAGUGCAAGCUUAAUCCUGGCUACACGAGGCCCUGUCUUUAAAACAAAACAAAACAAAACAAAACAAAACAAAACAAAACAUCAAACAAAUAUGGGCAGAUGACAUCCACAGCUUCCCUGUUCAGACCAUGCCUUAGCUUCUUGCCUCACUUAAGCCAAUCUUUGCUCUGCCUGGAAUGCCUUUGAAUGGCCACCCCUUCUUUCCUUUUCCUCGAGGCCAAUGGUUUUCAACCUUCCCAAUGCUUCGACACUUUAAAAAGUUCCUCAUGUUGUGGUGGCCCAUCCCCCAACAGUAAAAUUAUUUCUUUUGCUAUUUUUUAAAUAAAGUGAUGGUUUUUUUUAUAAACGAAUUAUUUAUUUUAUGCAUGUGAGUACAUGGUAGCUGUCUUCAGACACACCAGAAGAGGGCGUCAGAUCCCAUUACAGAUGGUUGAGAGCUACCAUGUGGUUGCUGGGAAUUGAACUCAAGACCUCUGGAAGAACAGUCAGUGCUCUUAACCACUGAGCCAUCUCUCCAGCCCUCUUUUGCUAUUUUUUUAAAAAAAGGAUGUAUGUAUAUAUGUAUGUAUGUAUGUAUGUAUGUAUGUAUGUAUGUAUGUAUGCAUGUAUGUUCAUACGUAUGUAUGUCUGAAGGCCAGAAGAGGCAUCAGAGCUCAUUAUAAAUGGCUGUGAACCUCCAUGUGGUUGCUGGGAGUUGAACUCAGAAGAGUAGCCAGUGCUCUUAACCUCUGAGCCAUCUUUCCAGUCCUUCUUCUUCUCUGUAAUGUUGUAAAGAUGUCUGUGCUUUGUGGGUAUCUUAGGCGACCCACAAAGGGCUUGAGAGCCACAGGUUGAGAACCACUGCUCUAGACCUUUCUGGGGUCACGCCCAAGAGCUCUCUCCUUUCUUCCCUUAGCAAUUGCUGCUGCCUUGUUUGGCAGAUCUCAGCUAAGCAGUCCUCCACCCCUUCCUUCAGCACCGCUCUCCUAUUAUCUCCGCAAGCCACAAAGCAGCCCCUGACCUGUUGGGGUUCUGCCCUGCUAGAUUUCUUCUGAAGCUCUUGUGUGUUUGUCACAGGAUGCACACACGGCCUUGCUGUGUGCCUCUCAAUGCUUAGACUAGAACUAGAAUGUCCAUGGAGGCGGAUGAUUUGAGCUACAUCUUUGCUGCCUCUCCACAGCCCUCAGACCGGAGCGUGAUGCAUGUAAAUGCUCAGGAAGACAUCUACAUCUUGCAAAAGGGUGAAGCAACUAUGGGAAGUGGAUACUCACAUACCCAGCCCUCAGAUGCGCACCGGCCCCAGUGCAGAUGUGGCCGCUGCCAGCCCUCGCCUGUGUCUCGCGCCGGCUUGGAGCUUGGAGAGGCGCCUCCCCCACCCCACCUGGAGGAGACCCCACUUUCUUCCUCCCACAGACCCUUGUAGCCCCCGUGAUGCCCCCUAAACCCAAUAAUGGUUCGGUCCUCAGUCACAUAAAUGUUUAUUCUCCGA